Pelodiscus sinensis (Chinese soft-shelled turtle) is the source of this 207-nucleotide non-coding RNA. The record is from RefSeq and is a predicted model, not a curated record. NCBI's taxonomy places the organism in Eukaryota, Metazoa, Chordata, Testudines, Trionychidae.
AGACCGUCAGCAGCAGGCUCCACCAGCAGAUCGGGGGGCAGGAGGCAGAGCUGAAGGCAGCGGCCUCGCGCCUAGCUGGGCUGGGAAACCGAGUCACCUUCGCCGCCAAGAGAGUCGACACCAUCCAAGGGCUGGUGUCUCGUAAAAUGGCCCUGGCGCGACUGCGGAGAGAAGAGCAGCCCAAGGCCGCUGGAUUGGAGGACGACG